UCGAAACCAAAACACAUGGUUCCUUUGAUUAUGAGAAACCAACAUGCAAGAUUUUUCACGACUUUGUCGUGAAACGUUGGGAGUAUCACCCCCGUUAAAGCUCUAUAUUUGAGGUGUCUAUGUAUGACAUGAGUCGUUCAUGAGUGGCGACUGUGAUUGUUCAUGCAAAGUUCCCAUUCCAAUGGUUGGUUAUGGUUGAGCUUGAGACUUAAUGAGUAUUGCUAUAAUACCGCCUCAUUGCAUUUAUAAUGGUGGUUAUGUACAUACGUGUAGUAUGUACGGUACCUGGUUGUCAGGAAACCUUAAUGAUCUCGCCUAGACGCCAUUAUAAAACACAACUUUUUAUGUUUAAAGUUUGCAGAAAUGUGUACACAGAAAUGUGUCACAAUUGACUAGCUUCAGCGAUGGAUCGGUCGAUUCGCGUAUCGAUGAAAAACGCAGCUAGCUGCGUUAUUUACCACGAAUUGCAGACGCUUAGAGUGGUAAAAUUUUGAACGCAUAGCGCCGUUGGGUUUUCCCUUCGGCACGUCUGGUUCAGGGUUGUUAAUGAAACUACUACAGUGUGGCUAGUUUAUAACACUGUUUGUCGAAUGGUAUUUAUUACUUUAUUGUGAUAAUUCCCAUUCCAGUUCAAGAAUAUGAAAUGCAACAUGACGUUAACAUUGUUAACGUUACUGAAUGAUACUGAAUAUAUUACCACUAUUUGAAUGUACUCAAUGAAUAUGAGAUUGAUUCAAAUAGGGACAUGUAUGGUAUUGUAUAUUCAAUGUAUCAUUUAUAUAUUGCAACCUGAACUCAGGCGUGAUUACCCGCUGAACUUAAGCAUAUCAUUUAGCGGAGGAAAAGAAACUAAC
This 854-nucleotide ribosomal RNA is filed under the name Ostertagia ostertagi. RNAcentral describes it as "eukaryotic LSU rRNA". The stretch from base 394 to 543 matches the Rfam family "5.8S ribosomal RNA". The record is from RNAcentral. Lineage: Eukaryota; Metazoa; Nematoda; Chromadorea; Rhabditida; Trichostrongylidae.